This 497-nucleotide ribosomal RNA is filed under the name uncultured bacterium. RNAcentral describes it as "partial 16S ribosomal RNA". It matches the Rfam family "Bacterial small subunit ribosomal RNA", at positions 28 to 507 of the family's 1533-position model. The record is from RNAcentral.
GAUGAACGCUGGCGGCGUGCCUAAUACAUGCAAGUCGAGCGAACAGACGAGGAGCUUGCUCCUCUGACGUUAGCGGCGGACGGGUGAGUAACACGUGGAUAACCUACCUAUAAGACUGGGAUAACUUCGGUAAACCGGAGCUAAUACCGGAUAAUAUAUUGAACCGCAUGGUUCAAUAGUGAAAGACGGUUUUGCUGUCACUUAUAGAUGGAUCCGCGCCGCAUUAGCUAGUUGGUAAGGUAACGGCUUACCAAGGCGACGAUGCGUAGCCGACCUGAGAGGGUGAUCGGCCACACUGGAACUGAGACACGGUCCAGACUCCUACGGGAGGCAGCAGUAGGGAAUCUUCCGCAAUGGGCGAAAGCCUGACGGAGCAACGCCGCGUGAGUGAUGAAGGCCUUCGGAUCGUAAAACUCUGUUAUUAGGGAAGAACAAAUGUGUAAGUAACUAUGCACGUCUUGACGGUACCUAAUCAGAAAGCCACGGCUAACUACGUG